This is a long non-coding RNA of Neofelis nebulosa (Clouded leopard), 5174 nucleotides long. RefSeq lists it as uncharacterized. The record is from RefSeq and is a predicted model, not a curated record. Lineage: Eukaryota; Metazoa; Chordata; Mammalia; Carnivora; Felidae. The transcript is spliced from 3 exons.
CGCCUCCAGGCUCUCCCGGAUCUCCGGCGGAGCGGGAGGCGUGUGAGGCCGAGACGGCCCCCCAGGAACCCCUCAUGAUCUGUGUAGCCGGGGCGCGGGUUAUUGUCGGAGCAACGCCUCCGCUUCCUUGGUCACCCCCCGGCCCAGGCUGGAAUGGGAGGACCCAGCGCGCCACGUGACCGAAUACUGCGCGUCACGUGACGAGGAAGCAGCGCAGCGGCGCCUGGGGAAGGAGUAGCUCUGGCUGAGCUUCUAGUAACCGUGGCGUCGGGCUCUGAGGCGCGGAGGAUUGGAGCUGCUCGAAUUUUCCCCCUCAGUUACGCUAGUUGCGGGUGGUGUCCCGUGAUGGGGGGCAUGAGUCCUGUCUCACCAUGUCUGGCUGGCGGCGACCCAGGUGCCACGUGAUGGUCAUUUGAAGACAGGCCUGCCGGAUGUCAGCUGCCUGGGAUGUGGACAAGAUGCCUGGAGAUUCAGAAACCAUUUGUGAUCAUGAAGACAAAAGCCACAAAGGACAUCAGCCUUGGACAGCCGAACACCUACACCUUCUAUGAGAAAAAUAAGCCACUUGUCUACUGGAGCCAUUCUUACUUGAAGCUGACUGCCACUUCAGCUAUGGUUUAAGGAUUCAAAACACUUUUUUAAGUAGGCUCCACGCAUAGAGCCUGGCUGCGGGCUUUGAACUCACGACCCUGAGAUCAAGAUCUGAGCUGAGAUCAAGAGUCCAAUGCUCAACCCACUGAGCCACCCAGGCACCCUUCAAAAUUUUUUUUUUUAGAGUCGAAAAAGAAGUACACAAUUUCAACAUAGAGAGAGCAGGAGGGAGCAAAUACCAAAAAUUAAUCCCGUCGGAAACACAGAAACAAGAAUACAUAGAAAACAUUUUAAAAUAAAACCAGUGAGACCAGCAAAUCUCAAAGCUUUGCUUAUUUAUUUUAGACGAAAACGAGAGAGCAAAACUAAACCGUAUUGAGGAACAAAAGAAGCACUACUCAUACAGCAUAGGUUUAAAAAAAUAAAUUGUAAGAAUUGUGCGGCAAGGACAGAAAAGAGGGAGCGUCCUCAGAGUCCCUAAUUUACAGCACCCACUGUUUGAACCUCAUCCGUACCUGACAGUACUUGACUUAAGGAAUUGGGAUUAUUGCUUUUAUGCCAGCAAACCCAAAGAGUGGAAAAGGAGGCCCACCUGAUCUGCAGGUGAGGCAGGGGGACCACACAUUUCAAUUGUGGGUUUGUUGCCCAUGGUUUAAACGGAGAGCCACCUGGGGGCCAGCGACGGAACAACAGGGGCUGCUGCCGGCCGUCGUCGGGGGAUCUGGGGAGACCCAGUGGUGUGGCCUCCAGCCUAGAGCUUUAGCCAAAAGAGAACCCUCGGUCCUCCCUCCUCCUGUUCCGUGGCCACUGUGUCUCCCAGCUACAGUGGAAGGGGUACCCGGGGAACGCCCACCCUGGAGUGGUGAAGGGCACCCAUGGAGUAAGAGGGAAGAACUAAGAGUCAGCGCAAAGAAAUCCGCCCAGGAUUCCUGCAGGUGUUUUGAGCCUGGUGUCAAGGGGGAGAGAGAUUGUUGAUGGGAAGUUAGGGGGGGUGUGGUCCACGUGGGGUCACCUUUAACAGGUAUGCAAGGCAACGGCCAGUUCCCCUGGGCAGAUCGAGUAACCUCAAAGUGUGCUGUCAGGGAGGUUAGGGUGCUUGCGGGGAAGGGGAGAGUAGAGAGAGAGUGUUGAAGGAAAGGGGAGGCACAGGGAAACCCCCCUGUGUCCCUUGUCCCGUAAGCUUAUCCUCUCCUUCCCAAGCCCCUCUCCUCUGUCUGGAGUCUCUCACUGCAGGUGUGCCCUAGGAGUGCCGGGCCCACCCACUCUCAGCCUCCAGAGCCCUUUUUGGACCUCAGUGACCCCUUUUCCAAACGUCUGCUUAAUUUCUUCCUGUCCGCGUCCCACUGUUACCCCACCUUCAGCAUGCCCACACUCACAACCACAGACUCACCUUUCAAUCUCCCACAUUCCCUCCUCCUCUCCUGAAACGUCACCAGCCUUCAAGUUCUCCAGUCUUUGCCUCACAAAGCCUCUCCAGAAGAACUUCUCAGUGACCAGUGCACACAUUCUCAGGGCCUGUCUCUUAUUACCCAUCCAAGAGGGCGAGUUCUGAGCUCAAACUCCACCUCCUGCUUGGUGAGACAGUGACUGGGAGCUAAAAGGUUGGCGGAACAUGUUGGUUUCAAUCGGUCAUACGUGCCUGUUUCUGCCUUAUUAACUGUACUAUGUCAACCUUAUUUAAAAGCUGCAGACAUUUGUGGAGAGCUGUGGGGCAUUGAUAAAUGAAAUGUUUAAGAUAUUUUAGGGAUUCAGACUUUAUCUUUCCUGUUCUUUGCCAUCCCACAGCCCUUUCCCCAGGCCAGGCUUUCAUUUCCUCACAUUGAGAUGACAGCAGUAAUUUCCAGAUAGGUCCUUUGAUCUCUACACUUUAAGAUUUAUCUUUUUUAUACACUGUUUUGCUCAUGUCCUUAUUAAAGCUUUCAUUUUUCUUUUCAAUUGCCCCUUGAUCUUAUUAUAUUUGGUUAUAUGUUAUGCUUUUCUUAAAUUUUUUUUUUAACGUUUAUUUAUUUUUGAGACAGAGAGAGACACAGCAUGAACAGGGGAGGGGCAGAGAGAGAGGGAGACACAGAAUCGGAAGCAAGCUCCAGGCUCUGAGCCAUCAGCCCAGAGCCCGACGCGGGGCUCGAACUCGCGGACUGCAAGAUCGUGACCUGGGCUGAAGUCGGACGCUCAACCGACUGAGCCACCCAGGCGCCCCUGUUAUGCUUUUCUUAAACUUUUAAACCAUACAGGCCUGGUGGAGACAGAGCAGAGUCUACAAUAUCCUGUUUUGGUCAUAUGAUUGGAGGUGGGUAGGGGCUUUCGCACGGUGCAGUUUCCAGAAGCCUAGCUGCAAUCAGAGAACCACUCAGGGAUCCAGCCUGCUGACCCAUGCAUUCUAUCCUCCUAUUCUGUGUUCUGAGAAACUCCCCUUCCCCCCGCACACACACACAUCUUCUGGCCCAGGUGGGCAGAAGCACACUGAACCAACACAUAUGAAGAUCCACGUGGAGGAAAAAUGGCUGAGCUGAGAUACUCUAAGGAGACGGGGACACUGGGUAAUAUCAGAAAACUCGGAGGCUGAGAGACCAGAGCUCAGACAGCAAAAGGGGUGCAAAGGCCAGAACUGUGGGUGUACAGAGGAGGAAUAGUGUCCAGGGGGUCCUGGACCCAAUAGUGGCUAAUUUGAAAGUUUGUUGACAUGGAAUAGAACUUGGAACUAUGAAGAACUAGGGAGCUAGGGAACAUAUUAGAACUAUGUAGGAAAGGGUGAGGGAGAUAAUCCACCAUAUGUAAAAGCACUAUAAAGGGUUCAAGAGAGGGGCGCCUGGAUGGCUCAGUUGGUUAAGCAUCCGACUUCGGCUCAGGUCCUGAUCUCACGGUUUGUGAGUUCGAGCCCUGCAUCGGGCUCUGUGCUGAUGGCUCAGAGCCUGGAGCCUGCUUUGGAUUCUGUGUCUCCUUCUCUCUCUGCCCCUCCCCCAACUUGUGUGCUCUGUCUGUCUCUCAAAAAUAAAUAAAUGUAAAAAAAAUUUUUUUAAUAAAAUAAAGGGUUCAAGAGACAUGUAGUACAGGUAAAAUGAAAAGAAAAUCAUAUCUGUCUGCAUACAUAAUAAACCACUCAGAACCAAAGAAAAGAGGAAAUGUUAAAAAAUGCCAGAGAAAGACACAUCGAUUUCAGAGGCACGAGACUGAGAGCAAACUUCUCGCUAGAAACGAUGGAAAGCAAAAGACAAGGUCUACAACAGAAUAAUUUCUUACCUAGAAUUCUGUACUCGGUGAGAAUACUCCACAAAAUGAAGGAAGAAUAAAGGCAAAAGUAAGAGAAUUUAUAAAGGGAAGUCCUUAGCAGGAACCAAAUGUCUCAUGAAAGAAACAAAAUUAUAAAAGGAAAAUGAUCUUAGAAGAAAACACAGAAAUACAGGAAGGAAAAUGUAAACACUAGCUAUGUGGGCAAAUAUAAAUGGAUACAGACAAUAUCAAGAAAUGAUAUUGAUAAUUAUAGGAUUUAAAAUAUAUUUAGAAUUACAAUGCUUGAAAAUAAUGCAAGAGGAGGGAGCAAUUAAAGUGUUCUAAGAUAUUAGUAUUAUUAAGUGAAGGGUCUAAGUACUAAUUUGUCUUAGACUACAGUAAAUCAGAGAUGAAUGUUGUAAUCCAUAAUGUAACUAUCAAAAAUUGCAACACAGAGAGAGAAGGACAGUGAGAGAGAGGAAGAGAAAGAGAGAGAGAGGCUAAAAGGAAAAUGAAAUAAAAAUACUUGAUUCAAGGGGCACCUGGGUGGCUCAGUCAGUUGGGUGGCCGACUUCAGCUCAGGUCAUGAUCUCACAGUCCGUGGGUUCAAGCCCUGCAUCGGGCUCUGUGCUGACAGCUUGGAGCCUAGAGCCUGCUUUGGAUUCUGUGUACCCGCCUCUCUCUGCCCCUACCCCAUUCGUGCUCUGUCUCUCAAAAAUAAAUACAUGUUUAAAAAAAAACUUGAUUCAAAAUGAAGGCAGAAGAGAAUUACCACAUCUUGAUAAAGAGCAUCUACAAAAAAGCCCAGUUGACAUCAUAGUUAGUGGAUAAAGACUGAAUGCUCUUCCCUUUAGAUUAGGUCCAAUGUAUCGACUAUACUAGCUCUUGUCCAACAUAGAACUGAAAGUUCUAACCAUUGCAGUAAGGCAAGAAAAAUAAAUAAAAGACGUACAUAAUGGAAAUGAAGAAAUAAACUAUCUCACAGAUGACAUGAUUAUUUCUGUAGAAAAUCCUAAGUGAUCUACAAAAAAAAAAAAAAGAAAAACUCCUGAAAUUAAUAAGUGUGUUCACCAUAGCCAUGACACAAUAUCAACACACAAAAAUUAACCAAUAUUGAUAUAACAAUAAAUAUGUGGAAACCAAAAUUAAAAACAAUACCAUUUAUAAUCACUCAAAAUAAAAUGUUUAAGGAUACAAUCAGCAAAAUAUGUACAGAUUAUGGAUGCUCAAAAUUACAAAAUUCCAAUCAAAGAAGUCAAAGAAGAUGCAAAUUAUAGAGACAUAUAUGGAUGAUGUUCAUGGAUUGGAAGACUCAAUAUCGUAAAAACGUUUCAGUUUCCCCCAGUAGGCUUAAUAAAAUUUUUAUCAAAAUCCUA